CAAUAGCGUAUAUUAAAGUUGUUGCGGUUAAAAAGCUCGUAGUUGAAUUUCUGUUAAAUGAAGCCGUUUCGCCCUCUGGAUGUAAACAGGUUGCAUUUUUCAUUUGUUUGGAAUGUGUGGCGGCACCUAGUUGUGAGGCCUACAAGCCAGACUUUUUACUUUGAGGAAAUUAGAGUGUUUCAAGCAGGCGCUUGCCUUGAAUAUAUUAGCAUGGAAUAAUAAUUCAAAACCUUGGUUUUGUUUUGUUGGUUUCAGGAAUCAAGGUCAUGAUUAAUAGGGACAGUCGGGGGCAUUCGUACUUAACUGUCAGAGGUGAAAUUCUUGGAUUUGUUAAAGACGAACUAAUGCGAAANCANNNGCCAAGGAUGUUUUCAUNGG
RNAcentral lists this ribosomal RNA (378 nucleotides) under uncultured eukaryote. Its description in RNAcentral is "partial 18S ribosomal RNA". It matches the Rfam family "Eukaryotic small subunit ribosomal RNA", at positions 592 to 976 of the family's 1831-position model. The record is from RNAcentral.